CCUACGGGAGGCAGCAGUGGGGAAUUUUGGACAAUGGGCGAAAGCCUGAUCCAGCAAUGCCGCGUGAGUGAAGAAGGCCUUCGGGUUGUAAAGCUCUUUUGUCAGGGAAGAAACGGUGAGAGCUAAUAUCUUUUGCUAAUGACGGUACCUGAAGAAUAAGCACCGGCUAACUACGUGCCAGCAGCCGCGGUAAUACGUAGGGUGCAAGCGUUAAUCGGAAUUACUGGGCGUAAAGCGUGCGCAGGCGGUUUUGAAGUCUGAUGUGAAAUCCCCGGGCUCAACCUGGGAAUUGCAUUGGAGACUGCAAGGCUAGAAUCUGGCAGAGGGGGGUAGAAGUUCCACGUGUAGCAGUGAAAUGCGUAGAUAUGUGGAGGAACACCGAUGGCGAAGGCAGCCCCCUGGGUCAAGAUUGACGCUCAUGCACGAAAGCGUGGGGAGCAAACAGGAUUAGAUACCCUGGUAGUCCACGCCCUAAACGAUGUCUACUAGUUGUCGGGUCUUAAUUGACUUGGUAACGCAGCUAACGCGUGAAGUAGACCGCCUGGGGAGUACGGUCGCAAGNUUAAAACUCAAAUGAAAUUGACCGG
This 587-nucleotide ribosomal RNA is filed under the name uncultured bacterium. RNAcentral's name for it is "bacterial SSU rRNA". It matches the Rfam family "Bacterial small subunit ribosomal RNA", at positions 338 to 917 of the family's 1533-position model. The record is from RNAcentral.